UACGUAGGGUGCGAGCGUUAAUCGGAAUUACUGGGCGUAAAGUGUGCGCAGGCGGCGCCGCAAGUCGAGUGUGAAAGCCCCGGGCUUAACUUGGGAAUUGCGCUCGAAACUAUGGUGCUGGAGUGUGGCAGAGGAAGGUGGAAUUCCACGUGUAGCGGUGAAAUGCGUAGAGAUGUGGAGGAACACCGAUGGCGAAGGCAGCCUUCUGGGCCAACACUGACGCUCAUGCACGAAAGCAUGGGGAGCGAACAGG
RNAcentral lists this ribosomal RNA (253 nucleotides) under uncultured bacterium. RNAcentral's name for it is "partial 16S ribosomal RNA". It matches the Rfam family "Bacterial small subunit ribosomal RNA", at positions 524 to 776 of the family's 1533-position model. The record is from RNAcentral.